AUAUUAUUAAUUCCUAACCUACUCACCUUAGCCACAGCUUUGCUUAUCUUGUUUUGUUGAUCGAAGCUUAUCUCUUUAGUGAACAAAAAAAAUACUUUAACUUCAUCCCCUCUCUAUCCUCUUCAAAGAUUUACCUUUUAGUUCCAAGGAUAGAUUAUGAUGACCGCACAGAUGGAUCUAUACCGGCUAAACUUUCUAGGUCGAUGGAUUAAUAAACGACUUCAGAGGUUUAUUCUUGAAAGCCGCUGCAUUUGUCUGCUUCCCUACCAUUGCUAAAGGAAAAGAAAGCUGAGACUGAAGAGGGUUAUGAACGUUCCAGCAAUAAGCAUUGCUCUUUGAAAAAUUACGGACAGAAAUCCCAAGGUGCCCAGUUCAUUAAAGGCUUUGUCUUUGAGCUUUCUACAAGGAAAUCAAAGUGAAACCAAUGGCACAACCCAGAAUCUAUAUGAACUACUUGGAAGAUCAUAGCGAAGAAGUCGAGACGUUUGCUAAGAUCCGGAUUGAUGAGAAGGAAAGCCUUGCUUGAAAUAUUAUCACUAAAAAAUUACAAAAGUUAAAAGAAUAUAUAAGAUUAAAAGUUUAAUAAUAAAUUAAUUAUGUUAAAUGAAGUGUG
Long non-coding RNA from Rosa chinensis, 613 nucleotides. RefSeq lists it as uncharacterized. The transcript is spliced from 4 exons. The record is from RefSeq and is a predicted model, not a curated record. Lineage: Eukaryota; Viridiplantae; Streptophyta; Magnoliopsida; Rosales; Rosaceae.